Molecule: ribosomal RNA, 301 nt
Filed under: uncultured bacterium
Lineage: Bacteria
Description: partial 16S ribosomal RNA
Rfam family: Bacterial small subunit ribosomal RNA
Source: RNAcentral
CAGUCGCCGCGGUAAUACGUAGGUCCCGAGCGUUGUCCGGAUUUAUUGGGCGUAAAGCGAGCGCAGGCGGUUUAGUAAGUCUGAAGUUAAAGGCAUUGGCUCAACCAAUGUAUGCUUUGGAAACUGUUAGACUUGAGUGCAGAAGGGGAGAGUGGAAUUCCAUGUGUAGCGGUGAAAUGCGUAGAUAUAUGGAGGAACACCGGUGGCGAAAGCGGCUCUCUGGUCUGUCACUGACGCUGAGGAGCGAAAGCGUGGGGAGCGAACAGGAUUAGAUACCCCUGUAGUCCCUGUCUCUUAUACA